GUAAGAGCUAGUUUUGGAUACAGUGAUGUGUGUGUAGAAGGUGUAAGUGUGUGGGUUUUGUGAGAGUGGUAGAUAUACAUGUUAGAAGAUGAAGAGAUAAUAUUGUAUCUUAGAGAGUGGAAUGCUGAGCUUUGUGCGUGUUAGAAGUCGCAGGGUGUGCAUGAUGAUGUGUGUGCAGUAGAGGUACGGGUGUAAUGGAGAGCUCUAUAUAUUGGAGAGAUGUUUGUGUGU
Molecule: non-coding RNA, 231 nt
Organism: Pelobates cultripes (western spadefoot toad)
Lineage: Eukaryota; Metazoa; Chordata; Amphibia; Anura; Pelobatidae
Source: the annotation of a GenBank genome assembly